This 106-nucleotide ribosomal RNA is filed under the name Polaromonas eurypsychrophila. Lineage: Bacteria; Pseudomonadati; Pseudomonadota; Betaproteobacteria; Burkholderiales; Comamonadaceae. The record is from RNAcentral.
GAUGACCAUAGCAAGUUGGUACCACUCCUUCCCAUCCCGAACAGGACAGUGAAACGACUUAGCGCCGAUGAUAGUGCGGAUUCCCGUGUGAAAGUAGGACAUCGUC